UACGUAGGGCGCAAGCGUUAUCCGGAAUUAUUGGGCGUAAAGAGCUCGUAGGCGGUUUGUCGCGUCUGCCGUGAAAGUCCGGGGCUCAACUCCGGAUCUGCGGUGGGUACGGGCAGACUAGAGUGAUGUAGGGGGAGACUGGAAUUCCUGGUGUAGCGGUGAAAUGCGCAGAUAUCAGGAGGAACACCGGUGGCGAAGGCGGGUCUCUGGGCCGUAACUGACGCUGAGGAGCGAAAGCGUGGGGAGCGAACAGG
This 254-nucleotide ribosomal RNA is filed under the name uncultured bacterium. RNAcentral describes it as "partial 16S ribosomal RNA". It matches the Rfam family "Bacterial small subunit ribosomal RNA", at positions 524 to 776 of the family's 1533-position model. The record is from RNAcentral.